RNAcentral lists this long non-coding RNA (817 nucleotides) under Homo sapiens (human). RNAcentral describes it as "non-protein coding LINC00472:1". The record is from RNAcentral. Lineage: Eukaryota; Metazoa; Chordata; Mammalia; Primates; Hominidae.
CGGGGCGCAAGAGCGGAGCUGCGCGAGCCGCUGCGGAGGGAAGGGCUCCUAGCCAAUUGGGGUCUUUGAGGCGAAUGCGAGGCUGGGGCCGGUUGCCUACCGGCCGCUUCUCGCCGAGGCAGUCCAGACUUUUCCCCCGGCGGUGCCCGCUCCAAGACAGCAUCUGUCAACGCUCCUCUUCUCCCCUCCUCCUCCUGCCGGGCCGGGCUCCGCCGGCUGCGGCCGAGAGGACGCGGGACCCGGCGCGGUGAGCCCAUCAGCUGUCAGGCGAGCGGCGAAGCGGCUGGAGGGCGGCGAGAGACACACAAAGAACGCGGUGGGCGGCGGCGGCGAAAGGGGACGGCAACUCCUCCCCGCGCCCGCCGGUGCCACCGCCGGCCGUGCUUGUUCCGAGGCCGCGCAGACAAUGCGGCCGGGCUCGUCCCCGCGUGCCCCAGAGUGCGGAGCGCCCGCGCUCCCCCGACCCCAACUUGACCGUCUCCCGGCUCGCCCAGCCCCCUCCCGGGGUAGGGGCGCCCCCUCCCUCCGGUGGCCGGCGAAGGAAGUCGGUCCGCGGCCGCAGAUCCCGGCAACUUGCGAACCGGGAAAAGUUUGCGGCGCCUCCGCGGGGCGGCGCGACGCGGCCCGCCCCUCGCGUCCGCGGUCAUCGCGGGUGACUUUCUCGACUCGUCGUCAGCCGGGGCCGCAGCGCGGCCGGUGGGGACUGCGGGGCGGGCCGGAGUCCGUCCGAGGGCUCCCGCACCUCGGGCUGCGGAUUUCAGGUACUCCACUGGGCAUUUUCUCUUCAUGGAGCUUAUAGCAACAAAAGUGUUUUACA